RNAcentral lists this ribosomal RNA (806 nucleotides) under uncultured Thermoproteales archaeon. RNAcentral describes it as "bacterial SSU rRNA". It matches the Rfam family "Archaeal small subunit ribosomal RNA", at positions 83 to 879 of the family's 1478-position model. The record is from RNAcentral. Lineage: Archaea; Thermoproteati; Thermoproteota; Thermoprotei; Thermoproteales.
CUCGUCAGUCACACGGAGGAUAAUCUCCCUUGGCACUGGAACACAGCCGGGAAACUGGGGCUAAUUCUCGAUAGGGAAGGACUCUGGAAUGAUUUUUGGCCAAACAGACGUUUGCGGUAUGUGAGUAGCCGUCGCCCAAGGAUGAGCACGCGGCCGAUCAGGGGUAUGGUGAGCCAAUGGCUCACCAAGCCUUUGUCCGGUGCGGUCGGAGAGAUUGGGAGCCCGGAGAUGGGCCACGAGACAUGGGCCCAGGCCCUCAGGGUUUCAGCAGUCGCCCUGGAGCACCUCUCCCCUAAAGCGGUCCAUAGUUAUCCAGAAUCCCAUACGCUCAGGAAGGCUAAUCCGCAAUAUUUCAACAGGGGGGAAUCAGGACAGGUCAAGUCUGGUGUCACCCAGUAAGGUAAUCCCACAUCUGAGAGUGCGGUAGAUGCGCGGCGGCCGGCAAGCAUCUGUACCGGCCCAAGUUCUCCGGUUUUAAAUCCCGAUGAACUAAUCGAGGAUCGGGCGGUCAGAGUUCCCUUGUCACGGUCUGAGAGGCAGACGGUAUUUUCGGGGUAGGGGUGAAAUCCUAUAAUCCCGGGAAGACCACCAGUGGCGAAGGCUGUUCUUAGAACGCGCCCGACGGUGAGGGAUGAAAGCUGGGGGAGCGAACCGGAUUAGAUACCCGGGUAGUCCCAGCUGUAACCGAUGCAGGCUAGGUGUUUGGACGCCCACCAUCCCAUCAAGCAUAGCAGGGAAGGUAUUAAGCCCACCUCCUGGGGAGUACGAUCGCAAGAGGAUAGGUAAAGCAAGUGGCGGGGGACCAC